RNAcentral lists this ribosomal RNA (305 nucleotides) under uncultured bacterium. RNAcentral's name for it is "partial 16S ribosomal RNA". It matches the Rfam family "Bacterial small subunit ribosomal RNA", at positions 508 to 809 of the family's 1533-position model. The record is from RNAcentral.
ACAGCAGUAGCCGCGGGAAUACAGAGGGUGCAAGCGUUAAUCGGAAUUACUGGGCGUAAAGCGCGCGUAGGUGGUUUGUUAAGUUGGAUGUGAAAGCCCCGGGCUCAACCUGGGAACUGCAUCCAAAACUGGCAAGCUAGAGUACGGUAGAGGGUGGUGGAAUUUCCUGUGUAGCGGUGAAAUGCGUAGAUAUAGGAAGGAACACCAGUGGCGAAGGCGACCACCUGGACUGAUACUGACACUGAGGUGCGAAAGCGUGGGGAGCAAACAGGAUUAGAGACCCCGGUAGUCCCUGUCUCUUAUAA